Molecule: non-coding RNA, 623 nt
Organism: Myodes glareolus (Bank vole)
Lineage: Eukaryota; Metazoa; Chordata; Mammalia; Rodentia; Cricetidae
Source: RefSeq, a predicted model, not a curated record
GUCUGCAGACAUGAGAAUUGUGAACUCCAUCCCACACUUCAUAUAGUUGGGGCACUGCUGCUUUAGUGUGGCUAUUUUAUAUUCCACUUUAUUAUGACUCUAUCUAUGUAAAUGUAAACACAGCUUCCCUGGACAUAAUUUCAUAAAGCUAAGCUAUCGCCUAUCUUUAGCACUGAAAUUCAAGUGGCAAGCCUGACAAGCAAAGAAAAAUGAGCGUAGUUAACUCUCACCAUCCACCAUCCCUGCUCAUCCGAAAGCUUAUGUCAGUUUCUAAACAAGCUUUUCAUUUUUCUAUUCAGUCUGCUGAUCUUUGUUGAUUUACAGCACGGAGGAGCAUAGCACAUGGUACCUCGUAGAGUGAAUUUUUCCUAAAUAAUAAAACAUUUAUUGCAGACACAUCAAGCUCGCUAGUGGCUCGAAAUUAUUGUGGCAAUGAAGUGCCGUGUUAGCAACUCAUUUACAUCCUACCAGCGACUCUCCAUUACCAAGGAUCCCAUAGAAAGUACAUCACCCCAUGACAGCUGGAAGCAAUUUUAGAAGAUGACGUCCCCUCUUCCAACAAUCUUUGUUCUCAAGCUGCUGGAUUUGGUUCCUGUUCCCCAUGUGUGCAGAGGACUGUGAUC